This 48-nucleotide microRNA precursor is filed under the name Podarcis lilfordi (Lilford's wall lizard). The record is from RNAcentral. Lineage: Eukaryota; Metazoa; Chordata; Lepidosauria; Squamata; Lacertidae.
UGUGUGUGUGUGUGUGUGUGUACACACACACACACACACACACACACA